RNAcentral lists this transfer RNA (74 nucleotides) under Patulibacter sp. RNAcentral describes it as "tRNA-Arg". It matches the Rfam family "tRNA". From Rfam's summary of the family: Transfer RNA (tRNA) molecules are approximately 80 nucleotides in length. Their secondary structure includes four short double-helical elements and three loops (D, anti-codon, and T loops). The record is from RNAcentral. RNAcentral also lists the same sequence under 1 other name. Lineage: Bacteria; Bacillati; Actinomycetota; Thermoleophilia; Solirubrobacterales; Patulibacteraceae.
GCCCCCGUAGCUCAGUUGGAUAGAGCGGCGGAUUUCUACUCCGCGGGUCGGGGGUUCGAAUCCCUCCGGGGGUA